Molecule: Y RNA, 113 nt
Filed under: Carlito syrichta (Philippine tarsier)
Lineage: Eukaryota; Metazoa; Chordata; Mammalia; Primates; Tarsiidae
Description: Y RNA (ENSTSYG00000027342.1)
Rfam family: Y RNA
About the family: Y RNAs are components of the Ro ribonucleoprotein particle (Ro RNP), in association with Ro60 and La proteins. The Y RNAs and Ro60 and La proteins are well conserved, but the function of the Ro RNP is not known.
Source: Rfam by way of RNAcentral
CGUUGGUCCGAAGGUAACGAGUUAUCUCAGCUGAUUGGUAACAGACAGUUACAGAUUGAACUCUUUGUUCUACUCUUUCCCUUCUUCUCACUACUAUACUUGACUAUUCUUAA